Molecule: non-coding RNA, 1395 nt
Organism: Zonotrichia albicollis (white-throated sparrow)
Lineage: Eukaryota; Metazoa; Chordata; Aves; Passeriformes; Passerellidae
Source: RefSeq, a predicted model, not a curated record
ACUGUAGGUGGACAGUCACGAGAUUCUGUGCAGUUGAGUGGAGUUGAGAUAUCGGGGAUACCCUGCUUCACUAUAAGCUUCUAGGCACUUUUUCUGGGAUUGGGCACUUUUGGGAAGCCUCUGAGGGCACUGAAGAUGCCUGCUGCUUCCAGGGCUCACACAAUGCAAUCCUCUCUUGGUUAUAUUGAAUGAUCAUGGUGACUGGGAGAAGCUCCUGAAGACUGGAAAAGAGCAAAUCUCUCUUCUGUCUUCACAAAGGAAGGUGCAAGGAACUACAGGUCAAUAGGCUUCAAUCCCUGGCAAUGUGAAAGAGGAAAUCUUCCUGAAAACCAUUUCCAAAUAUAGGGAGGACAAGAAGGUGAUUGGGAUAGUCUCCAUGGAUUUAUGAAAGGAAAAUUUUGCUUGAUGAAAUACCUUGCUUUUUAAUAUGAUGUGGCUAACUAGGUGGAUGAGAUGUGAGCAGUGAAUGCCAACCUCAGCUUUAGCAAAGCCUUUGACAUUAUCUCCCAUUAUCUUCAUAGACAAGCUGACAAAGUACAGGUUAGAUGGGUGGAUGGUGAGGUGGAUUGAAAACCAUCUGAAAAAGAAGGUCCAGAAGUUUUUCAUUAGGGGCACAAUGUCCAAUUGGAGAUGAGUGUACCCCACUAACAGGGCUGCUCCUAGAGCCAGUAGUGUCCAGUGUCCUCAUUAACAGCCUGGACAAUGGGGCAGAAGAAAUCAAGAGCAAAUCAAGUUCAACAAGAGCUAAUGCAAAAUUCAGCGUCUUGAGAGGAAUACACUCCUCCCAAGCAUACACUGAAAACAAACUGUCUGGAAGAAGGCUUUGUGUAGAAGAACUCUUUGGACAAUAAGCAGACCAUGAGCCAGCAGCACAUCCUUGUGGCAUAAAACAGGCCAACAAUAUCCCAGCCUGCAUUUGAAAGAGCACUGCCAACAGGUCAGGGGAAAUAUCCUUCCCCUUUGCUCAGCUCUGGUGAGACCACCUCAAGGAAGACACAGAUUUCCUCAGGGGUGUCAAGGUGCAGCUGGAGAAACUUCUGUGGAAGGAGAGACUGAGAGCUGGGAAUCUUCAGCCUGGAGGUUGUAAAUGUCUGAUGUGAGGGAAUAAAGAAGAGGGAGACACAUUCUCCUCAGUAACAGCUGGUGACAGGACAAGAGGCAAGGGGUAAGAAAUUUUAAAAAAAGAAAAAAAACCAAAACCCAGAAAAUUCUAUCUCAACACAAGAAAGAAUGUGAAGUUCAUCAAAUACUGAUGCAGGCUGCCCAGAGAGGUUGUGGAGUCUCCAUCUGUGGAGAUACCCAAAAGCUGAGUAGACACAGUCCUGGACAAUUGAUCCUGCUUGGGACAGGGGUUAUACUGAGUGAUCUCGAGACUUUCCUCCAACCCAGACAAUU